ACGGUGAAGCCCAGCUUGCUGGGUGGAUCAGUGGCGAACGGGUGAGUAACACGUGAGUAACCUGCCCCUGACUCUGGGAUAAGCCUUGGAAACGAGGUCUAAUACCGGAUAUGUGACGUUCAGGCAUCUGAUGCGUCUGGAAAGAUUUAUCGGUCAGGGAUGGACUCGCGGCCUAUCAGCUUGUUGGUGGGGUAACGGCCUACCAAGGCGACGACGGGUAGCCGGCCUGAGAGGGCGACCGGCCACACUGGGACUGAGACACGGCCCAGACUCCUACGGGAGGCAGCAGUGGGGAAUAUUGCACAAUGGGCGCAAGCCUGAUGCAGCGACGCCGCGUGAGGGAUGAAGGCCUUCGGGUUGUAAACCUCUUUCAGCAGGGAAGAAGCGCAAGUGACGGUACCUGCAGAAGAAGCGCCGGCUAACUACGUGCCAGCAGCCGCGGUAAUACGUAGGGCGCAAGCGUUGUCCGGAAUUAUUGGGCGUAAAGAGCUCGUAGGCGGUUUGU
This 505-nucleotide ribosomal RNA is filed under the name Cellulomonas sp. 3B_(MB)_30.02mbsf. RNAcentral's name for it is "bacterial SSU rRNA". It matches the Rfam family "Bacterial small subunit ribosomal RNA", at positions 66 to 583 of the family's 1533-position model. The record is from RNAcentral. Lineage: Bacteria; Bacillati; Actinomycetota; Actinomycetes; Micrococcales; Cellulomonadaceae.